RNAcentral lists this ribosomal RNA (403 nucleotides) under bacterium enrichment culture clone ALO1_GLFRUDD03HIQGR. Its description in RNAcentral is "bacterial SSU rRNA". It matches the Rfam family "Bacterial small subunit ribosomal RNA", at positions 9 to 412 of the family's 1533-position model. The record is from RNAcentral.
GAGUUUGAUCCUGGCUCAGAUUGAACGCUGGCGGCAUGCCUUACACAUGCAAGUCGAACGGCAGCACGGGAGCUUGCUCCUGGUGGCGAGUGGCGAACGGGUGAGUAAUGCAUCGGAACGUAUCCUGGAGUGGGGGAUAACGUAGCGAAAGUUACGCUAAUACCGCAUAUUCUGUGAGCAGGAAAGCGGGGGACCUUCGGGCCUCGCGCUCUUGGAGCGGCCGAUGUCGGAUUAGCUAGUUGGUGAGGUAAAGGCUCACCAAGGCGACGAUCCGUAGCAGGUCUGAGAGGAUGAUCUGCCACACUGGAACUGAGACACGGUCCAGACUCCUACGGGAGGCAGCAGUGGGAAUUUUGGACAAGUGGGGGCAACCCUGAUCCAGCCAUGCCGCGUGAGUGAAGAA